GCUCUGUGCGGUGUGUUGUAGUGCUCUGUGCUGUGUGUUGUAGUGCUCUGUGCGGUGUGUUCUAGUGCUCUGUGCGGUGUGUUGUAGUGCUCUGUGAGGUGUGUUCUAGUGCUCUGUGCUGUGUGUUGUAGUGCUCUGUGAGGUGUGUUGUAGUGCUCUGUGCGGUGUGUUCUAGUGCUCUGUGCGGUGUGUUCUAGUGCUCUGUGCGGUGUGUUCUAGUGCUCUGUGAGGUGUGUUGUAGUGCUCUGUGAGGUGUGUUGUAGUGCUCUGUGAGGUGUGUUCUAGUGCUCUGUGAGGUGUGUUCUAGUGCUCUGUGAGGUGUGUUCUAGUGCUCUGUGCUGUGUGUUGUAGUGCUUUGUGCGGUGUGUUGUAGUGCUCUGUGCUGUGUGUUGUAGUGCUUUGUGCGGUGUGUUGUAGUGCUCUGUGCUGUGUGUUGUAGUGCUCUGUGCUGUGUGUUGUAGUGCUCUGUGCUGUGUGUUCUAGUGCUCUGUGAGGUGUGUUCUAGUGCUCUGUGCUGUGUGUUGUAGUGCUCUGUGCUGUGUGUUGUAGUGCUCUGUGCUGUGUGUUGUAGUGCUCUGUGCUGUGUGUUGUAGUGCUCUGUGCUGUGUGUUGUAGUGCUCUGUGCUGUGUGUUCUAGUGCUCUGUGCGGUGUGUUCUAGUGCUCUGUCUCGAAUCCACGUUGUUCCUUUGCAUUGUGUAUUGAACAUUUAGACUAUGGCUGAAAAGGUCAUUUGGCGUGCUGUUGUGAGCUGCCCGACUCCGUUCAGAUUCCAAGGCUAAACCAUAAUUUGUGACAUCACGACGUCGUCACCAUCGACGACAGCCCGCUGAUAAUAUCGGGCCAAUCCUAAUUGACACCUCCGUCUCUCUCUCUCUCUCUCCCAGUAACCUGUAUCGUCUUCCCCUUCUCACACUUUUCUUUUGUGGCUCUCUCAUUUCCCUCUCAUUCUGUCUGUCUUUCUAUCUCUGACAUGUCAUUAUAGAAUAAAUAAAAAUAUAUGUUAAAUUAUUUACCUGGUUAAAUCAAUGUCAAAUUGUCUUUUAUUUAUAUUUUUCUCUCUCUGUCUCUCUCUCUCUGUCUCUCUCUGUCUCUCUCUGUCUCUCUCUCAAUUCAAUUCAAUUCUCUCUCUCUCUCUCUCUCUCUCUCUGUCUCUCUCUCUCUCUGUCUCUCUCUCUCUGUCUCUCUCUCUCUCUGUCUCUCUCUCUCUCUGUCUCUCUCUCUCUGUCUCUCUCUCUGUCUCUCUCUCUCUCUGUCUCUCUCUCUCUGUCUCUCUCUCUCUGUCUCUCUCUCUCUGUCUCUCUCUCUCUGUCUC
Molecule: long non-coding RNA, 1313 nt
Organism: Oncorhynchus keta (chum salmon)
Lineage: Eukaryota; Metazoa; Chordata; Actinopteri; Salmoniformes; Salmonidae
Exons: 4
Source: RefSeq, a predicted model, not a curated record